This 73-nucleotide transfer RNA is filed under the name Ailuropoda melanoleuca (giant panda). It matches the Rfam family "tRNA". From Rfam's summary of the family: Transfer RNA (tRNA) molecules are approximately 80 nucleotides in length. Their secondary structure includes four short double-helical elements and three loops (D, anti-codon, and T loops). The record is from Rfam by way of RNAcentral. Lineage: Eukaryota; Metazoa; Chordata; Mammalia; Carnivora; Ursidae.
GCCUGGCUGGCUCAGUGGGUAAAGCUAAUGACUCUUGAUCUUGAGGUCAUGAGUUCGAGCCCCAUGUUGGGUG